AUCAACUUAAAUAACGAAAGCCCUGCCUCUCUUUCAUCCUUGCGGUUCCGUGACCGCGCCAGUGUAAAUAAGAAUCACUCACAAUGG
Molecule: small RNA, 87 nt
Filed under: Evansella caseinilytica
Lineage: Bacteria; Bacillati; Bacillota; Bacilli; Caryophanales; Bacillaceae
Description: BsrC
Rfam family: BsrC
About the family: The 301 nucleotide sequence from Kouji Nakamura has been trimmed to a highly conserved ~85 nucleotide long core to form this family.
Source: Rfam by way of RNAcentral